CCUACGGGAGGCAGCAGUGAGGAAUAUUGGUCAAUGGUCGGGAGACUGAACCAGCCAAGCCGCGUGAGGGAUGAAGGUACAGAGUAUCGUAAACCUCUUUUGUCAGGGAACAAAGGCGGGGACGCGUCCCCGAAUGAGUGUACCUGAAGAAAAAGCAUCGGCUAACUCCGUGCCAGCAGCCGCGGUAAUACGCAGGAUGCGGGCGUUCUCCGGAGUUAUGGGGUUUAAGGGGUGCGCAGGCGGUCUGUUAAGUCAGUGGGAAAAGCCCGGGGCUCAACCCCGGCCCGCCGUUGAAACUGGCAGUCUCGAGUUGGAGAGAAGUAUGCGGAAUGCGCGGUGUAGCGGUGAAAUGCAUAGAUAUCGCGCAGAACUCCGAUUGCGAAGGCAGCAUGCCGGCUCCACACUGACGCUGAGGCACGAAAGCGUGGGUAUCGAACAGGAUUAGAUACCCCAGUAGUC
RNAcentral lists this ribosomal RNA (459 nucleotides) under uncultured bacterium. Its description in RNAcentral is "partial 16S ribosomal RNA". It matches the Rfam family "Bacterial small subunit ribosomal RNA", at positions 338 to 795 of the family's 1533-position model. The record is from RNAcentral.